GAAAAAUAAAACCUCUAACACCCUAAUUCCUUUGGUCAUUACUCUCAGGAUAUUGUUUCCUCAAUGAGCUCUAAGCACAAGAGCUUAUCAAAGUAUGCUGCUCACAUUUAUGAGACUGCAAGCUUCUUUGCCCACCAAGAAUGCUGUUAUACACACAAUCAGGUUAUCAUGGUGCAAGCCUUGCAAGCAUCUGCUCAGCCAGUGCAAGCCAUCCAACUUGGCCUUCCGUGUGCGCGCUGGUCCCGCUCGGCCCGGCCUGUCGCCAUGGCUGCCGGCGCGUCCACGCUUGUCGCGCUGCCUGCCAGCUGGUCUGGCCGUGGCAGCAUGUGGCGCCUGGCGCUG
RNAcentral lists this long non-coding RNA (342 nucleotides) under Pollicipes pollicipes. Its description in RNAcentral is "uncharacterized LOC119107049". Lineage: Eukaryota; Metazoa; Arthropoda; Thecostraca; Pollicipedomorpha; Pollicipedidae. The record is from RNAcentral.